This 253-nucleotide ribosomal RNA is filed under the name uncultured bacterium. RNAcentral's name for it is "partial 16S ribosomal RNA". It matches the Rfam family "Bacterial small subunit ribosomal RNA", at positions 524 to 776 of the family's 1533-position model. The record is from RNAcentral.
UACAGGGGGGGCAAGCGUUGUUCGGAAUUACUGGGCGUAAAGGGUUCGUAGGUGGCCAACUAAGUCAGACGUGAAAUCCCUCAGCUUAACUGGGGAACUGCGUCUGAUACCGGAUGGCUUGAGUGUAGGAGAGGAAUGCGGAAUUCCAGGUGUAGCGGUGAAAUGCGUAGAUAUCUGGAGGAACACCGGUGGCGAAGGCGGCAUUCUGGACUACAACUGACACUGAGGAACGAAAGCCAGGGGAGCAAACGGG